This is a long non-coding RNA of Myotis brandtii (Brandt's bat), 778 nucleotides long. RefSeq lists it as uncharacterized. The record is from RefSeq and is a predicted model, not a curated record. The transcript has 3 exons. NCBI's taxonomy places the organism in Eukaryota, Metazoa, Chordata, Mammalia, Chiroptera, Vespertilionidae.
GCCCUACGGAGCCGUCUGGGAGGGGAUUACCAGCCUGAUCCCCCGUCUUUAGAGCCAGAAAUGACUCAAACUUCAACAGCAAGGGCCUGCCAGGGAGGGUGACAAUGAGCACUGGAGAGGGUUUUCUCCCCCUCGCUGGUGUCUCUUCCCCCUUCUUGCUGCUGCGGCAGAUUCUGGACAGUGUACAGCCUGUGAGGUAAUAUGAAUUCCUUGGCAACCAGCAAGUACCUGAAUUCUUUCAAAACCACAGGAAUCCAGCAGAGAAAAGUGAAAAUUUGGCUAUUGGCUCUGUCUCAAAAAAGGUCCAGUCAAAUCAUUUAGACCACAUACUGGAUCCACCUAAAACUGUAAAAUCCAGGACAAAGUCUUUUUGGUUUCCACCUCUGAUAGGAAAAAAAUCUACACCAUUUUGGGGGAGAAUGCCACCCUCUCUGGAAGUCUUGUAUCAAUGCCUGCAUAUAUGUCUGGACAUACACACCGGACCUCCAGAUAACCCUUUGAUUAUUCCCCUGAACGGCUCAUGUAGACCACCUGGCAUCCAUUAACCAGACCACAGCAUGUGACCAGACCUCCUGGGAUCCACCUUCCAGACCACCUGGCAUCUAUCAUCCAGGCCACCUGACAUCUGAAAGAUAACCAUCCUGGACCAGUCCUAGGGCUAAGAAUGCAGGACUGAAAAUUUUCAAGAGUGUACUUUUUACUAUAAGAACUCUUAACUUUUCUUUCUUCUUUGGAACACUCUGGGUUUUUGUCUAGCUGUGUUCCCAGUUUGCAAACU